Long non-coding RNA from Dryobates pubescens (Downy woodpecker), 367 nucleotides. RefSeq lists it as uncharacterized. The transcript is spliced from 4 exons. NCBI's taxonomy places the organism in Eukaryota, Metazoa, Chordata, Aves, Piciformes, Picidae. The record is from RefSeq and is a predicted model, not a curated record.
AGACACCAAGGAAGACACUGCAACUAGCGGUGGCUAGCAAGCGGAGGAAGCUGGCGGAGGUUAACGGGAAAGACAGACGAAGUGAAACACUUUCUCAGCAGGGAAGAUUUGCCUCUUUACACUGGAAGACCCCUGUGGUGUGUGCGUUUUAGAACAUUCCCACCUGCUUUUGACAAGAUGGGUGAAAUAUAUCAGCAAAGAAAAGACGAGUCCAAAGCAUUAACAACUUGGAAGCUAUUUUUCAUGCUGCUAUCAUUACCUCCAGUUUGACGCUACAGUGGAAGGCAAAUUUGGUUCUGACUCAGUCUGGAUGGAUGCCAAACCACAUUUUGGAGGGGUGAGAAAGGCCCAACAUCUGCUUUGGGUG